This 427-nucleotide ribosomal RNA is filed under the name uncultured bacterium. RNAcentral's name for it is "bacterial SSU rRNA". It matches the Rfam family "Bacterial small subunit ribosomal RNA", at positions 355 to 774 of the family's 1533-position model. The record is from RNAcentral.
UGAGGAAUAUUGGACAAUGGGCGCAAGCCUGAUCCAGCCAUGCCGCGUGCAGGAUGAAGGCCUUCGGGUUGUAAACUGCUUUUGUACGGAACGAAAAGGUUUGGCCUAAUAAGCUGAGCUCAUGACGGUACCGUAAGAAUAAGCACCGGCUAACUACGUGCCAGCAGCCGCGGUAAUACGUAGGGUGCGAGCGUUAAUCGGAAUUACUGGGCGUAAAGCGUGCGCAGGCGGUUAUGCAAGACAGAUGUGAAAUCCCCGGGCUCAACCUGGGAACUGCAUUUGUGACUGCAUAGCUGGAGUGCGGCAGAGGGGGAUGGAAUUCCGCGUGUAGCAGUGAAAUGCGGAGAUAUGCGGAGGAACACCGAUGGCGAAGGCAAUCCCCUGGGCCUGCACUGACGCUCAUGCACGAAAGCGUGGGGAGCAAACA